UGGGGAAUCUUAGACAAUGGGGGAAACCCUGAUCUAGCCAUGCCGCGUGAGCGAUGAAGGCCUUAGGGUUGUAAAGCUCUUUCAGCUGGGAAGAUAAUGACGGUACCAGCAGAAGAAGCCCCGGCUAACUCCGUGCCAGCAGCCGCGGUAAUACGGAGGGGGCUAGCGUUGUUCGGAAUUACUGGGCGUAAAGCGCACGUAGGCGGAUUAGUCAGUCAGAGGUGAAAUCCCAGGGCUCAACCCUGGAACUGCCUUUGAUACUGCUAGUCUUGAGGUCGAGAGAGGUGAGUGGAAUUCCCGAGUGUAGAGGUGAAAUUCGUAGAUAUUCGGAGGAACACCAGUGGCGAAGGCGGCUCACUGGCUCGAUACUGACGCUGAGGUGCGAAAGCGUGGGGNGCAAACAGAUUAGAUACCCUGGUAGUCCACGCCGUAAACGAUGAAUGCCAGUCGUCGGGUUGCAUGCAAUUUCGGUGACACACCUAACGGNUUAAGCUUCCGCCUGGGGAGUACGGUCGCAAGAUUAAAA
This 526-nucleotide ribosomal RNA is filed under the name uncultured bacterium. RNAcentral's name for it is "partial 16S ribosomal RNA". It matches the Rfam family "Bacterial small subunit ribosomal RNA", at positions 355 to 899 of the family's 1533-position model. The record is from RNAcentral.